This 3810-nucleotide long non-coding RNA is filed under the name Sus scrofa (pig). RNAcentral's name for it is "lncRNA (ENSSSCG00000060367.1)". Lineage: Eukaryota; Metazoa; Chordata; Mammalia; Artiodactyla; Suidae. The record is from RNAcentral.
AUAUUUCUCAAGUAUUAAAAAUAACUGCUACACUCUGAGUAAAGUAAAUAGCUUGUCAACCCCCUCUUUAUUAUGGGAACAACCACACUGGGAUAUAACAUGUGUUGGAAGAAGCGAUUAAAAAUGAUACAAACCAGUGCACCAAAAUUUUAAACAAAUUUUCACUAUUGACACAGAAAGAACACUCAUUGGGAAUAGCAAUAACAUCCACUUAUGCAAAGAUAUCUUUGACAUGCGAUGAAAACAUAACCUCUGGAUACGUAUUCUCUCUUUUAGGUUUUCAGUGGGAAUUGAGCGUAAGUGAUUAGGGCAGGAUUUGGUCCAAUAAAUAAAUAAACUGAAAAUUUUGUAACAAGUGGUGGAGUAAUACAUAUUAAUUCUGAACAGAUUGACACUGUAAUUUGGGAUAAAAACCAUAAUGAUUACAGAACACAGUCAGUGUAAGUCAAGUCUGAUGGACUGGAACAGAUGUGUCCACCUGUUUAGAGCCCAGCUCUGCAUCACUUGGGAUGCAUAACGUGACUAGGACUGUAACGUUAGCUAUUUAGAAAGGUAUACAGGUUAGGAAAAAGGAGAGAUGUCAAAUUCUGGAUCAUUCUUUUGUUCUCCUAGGUAACUAUGAGGUCAAAAAUAUAAGAGGGCACACAAAGGGCUAAAAUAAAAGACAGUCCAGAGCAGAUGUAAAUCUUAUUUCAUGCCCUUCAUUGGAGAUAAUUUGGAAAGCGUCAUAAAGGAUAUUUCAAGGACAGAUGAAUUGAAUAGACUCAGUUUUCAUUUUCCUAAAGUUGAUAAAUUAUGUGUAAAUUAACUCAAUCUGACUUAAAAAAAACUGUAAAAUGAAUGAAGAAAGAUGGAAAAAGUCUCCAACAUUACAAUGUUCAUGCCUAGGGGAAUCCAUAUAUCUAACACCAUGUAAGAUCAGGCUUUUGUGACUAUUUAUCAUUUAAAAUCAUAGGGAAAUUUUUUUUGACAAAAUAUGCUCCAGGUCUAAAGACUAUACUGUGUGUCAUUAGGGGGUAAUUUAAUUUUUUUCUUAAGAUAGAAGGAAAUAUUUCUAGUAUGAUAAUAAAUAUGUCUUUUUAUUAUAGGAAAGUUUUCAUGUAGCGUCAUAAACAUUGUUCAUUUUAAAGAUGUAUAUUAUAGAUGUCGCUAUUAAAAUAUUCUUCUUGUAUCUGCUCCUCAAUCUUUCAUAUAAGAAUUUAUUAACAAAACCAAGUACAUGUAUGUUAUUUUCCUUUCCUUUAUUUUCUUUAUUAGCCUCAGAGCAUUUAAACAAUCUUUAACCUAUGGAGUAUCUAUCACUAUAAGGAUAAAAAAGCAUUAAAAAUUUAGUAUAUAGAAAGCAGUCUUUUAGCUCAUUUCUAACCUUCAGCUUUUGAGGAGGUAUUUUACAUUAAGAAAUUAAAAUAAAUUUAUUCAUCUUCUAGUAACAUUAUUUUUCUUGGAAUGAGGUAUUCAAAUUUCAUAAUGGGAAAAAUACAAGGCAGUUUAAUAAACUGAAGAUAUAUUCUCGGCAAAAAGCUAUCAACUGAGUAAAACCUAUCAGAAACACUCAAGAAGCUUUUUCAAUUUUACGUUAUCUUCCUGCCCCUUCAUGUUUGUGGAAAAACUAGGGGAAGAUUUUUUUUUUCAGUCAGUAUUCAUCAAUAUACUCGACAGAAACUUCAACAAUCCAAAGAUAUCACUGGCUAAACACCACUAUAGACUUUUAAAAAAUGGUUUGAUUUCUUGCACUCAAGGAAGUGUAAAAAUUUAAUGCAUAUACAAAAAGAAGACACAACUUGUAUAAAUAUAUGAGACAUAUGCAGGUGUUCCAUUUCAAAGACAACAGAAUAGCUCAUUUGGGGGUAACUGAGUAUUUGCCAGAGAUUCCUGCUUUCAGCUCAAAAAGUUAAAAGGGUUCAGAAAAAUUAUGUGUCUUAUAUGAUUCUGCAUGUAAUAUGUUUCAUUAUCUCAUAAAAAGUGUUCCUGCCUUAUUUUACAAUAUUUAAGAAGUAAUUAUAUAGAAAUAAAUGUUAUAAAUCAUCACCUAAUAAUGACAGUACUAUUAAAUUACACAUACAAUAUAUUGUAAUAGAAGAUGACUAAGGCUUUUUGUGUUUAAAUCAGUAAUUUUCAAUUCUGGCAGUGCAUCGGCUGGGAAAUUUUAAAAUAAUACUGAAGUCUCAUUCCUCAGCCCUCCCUCCUGAGAUUUUGAUAUAAUUGGCUGGAGAUGGGGACCAGGGAUAGAAUUUUAAAUAUCUCUCCAGUUCAUUUUAUUGUGAAGUCAGUGUUGAGAAACACAAAAUCUUGUUUUAUCUGUUUUUGAAUCAGUAAGUUCUUGUGAGGAAAAAAAGUAAACAAAAUAGAAAGAUAUAUAUAUUGCAAAGUUUUUAAAUAAACUAUUAGCCAACAAAUGAGAAAAAGGUGGAAACAUAAAGAAUACUUAGACAGUCCAAAAGUAUUCAGGAAAAUGAACAAAUGGAACCAAAGAACAGAAGUUGCAAAGAGGUAAUACACAGCAGGAUGUACUAUUUGAUUUCAGGAUUUACUAUGAAGUUCAGCAAUCAAGACAGUGUACUUUUGGCAUUAAUAUAGAGAAACGCAUCAGUGGAACAAAAUAGUUCAGAAGUAGACCUAUACAAACAUGUACAACUUAAUUUUGAAAAAAGAGAAAAACAAUUUUGUGGGGAGACAACAGUUCAAAAAAGAGAGUGGUGUGGGAUAAUUGCAUAUAAAUAUGCAAAAUAACCCACUUUGAUUGAUGCCUUUUAUCAUAUGUAAAAGUAGCUCAAAAUUGAUUAUAGAUAUAUAUAAAAUCAAACAUUAUAAAACUUCUAGAAGAAAUUAUAGGAAAACUUUCAUGAUCCUGUAUAAGGUAAAGAUUUCUGAGACACAACAAUCAAAAGCACAAUCAAUAAAAAUUCAUCAAGUCCAUGAUUUUCUUUUCUGAGGAGAUGUUCAUUUGUGCUGGAUAUUAGAUUCCAGUUAUAAGUGAUAUCAUAUGGUAUUUGUCUUUGUCUUUCUGGCUCAUUUCACUCAGUAUGAGAUUCUCUAGCUCCAUCCAUGUUGCUGCAAAUGGACUUGUGGCUGCCUGAUGGGAGGGGGAGGGAGUGGGAAGGAUUGGGAGCUUGGGCUUAUCAGACACAACUUAGAAUAGAUUUACAAGGAGAUCCUGCUGAAUAGCAUUGAGAACUUUGUCUAGAUACUCAUAUUGCAACAGAAGAAAGGCUGGGGGAAAAAUGUAAUUGUAAUAUAUACAUGUAAGGAUAACCUGACCCUCUUGCUGUACAGUGGGAAAAUAAAAAAAAAAUUCAUCAAAAUUUAAAAACACUUUUAUUUGAAAGACACUAUGAGGAGAAUGAAAAGACAAAAUACAAACUGAGAGAAACAUUUGCAAAGUGUUUAUCUGAGAGAUGACUUUUACCCAAAAUGUGUAAAUAUCUAGCAAAACUCAAUAAUAACAAAAAUUGAUUAAAGAAUGAGGAAGAUAAUUUGAGUACACACUUAACCAAAGAUGAUAUACAGAUGAUGAUAAGCAGAAAAAUGUCCAACAUCAUUAAUGAAUAGAAAAUUGCAAAUUCAGGGAGUUUUUGUCUUGGCUAAGUGGUGAGAGAACCCAAUUAGUGCCCAAGAGGACAUGGGUUCGAUCCCUGGCCUCGCUCAGUGGGUUAAGGAUCUGGUGUUGCAGCGAGCCAUGGUAUAGUUCGCAGACAUGGCUUAGAUCCUGUGUUGCUGUGGCUGUGGCAUAGGCCUGCAGCUACAGCUCAGAUUUGACACCUAGCCUGGGAACCUCCAUAGGCUGUGGGUGUGGCCCUAAAAAGACAAAAG